This 73-nucleotide transfer RNA is filed under the name Paramuricea clavata. It matches the Rfam family "tRNA". From Rfam's summary of the family: Transfer RNA (tRNA) molecules are approximately 80 nucleotides in length. Their secondary structure includes four short double-helical elements and three loops (D, anti-codon, and T loops). The record is from Rfam by way of RNAcentral. Lineage: Eukaryota; Metazoa; Cnidaria; Anthozoa; Malacalcyonacea; Plexauridae.
GCCCGGUUAGCUCAGUUGGUAGAGCAUCAGACUUUUAAUCUGAGGGCCAUGGGUUCGAGUCCCAUAUUGGGCU